CCUACGGGAGGCAGCAGUGGGGAAUAUUGGACAAUGGGGGGAACCCUGAUCCAGCCAUGCCGCGUGUGUGAAGAAGGCCCUCGGGUUGUAAAGCACUUUCAGUGAGGAAGAACGCCUGGUGGUUAAUACCCAUCAGGAAAGACAUCACUCACAGAAGAAGCACCGGCAUAACUCCGUGCCAGCAGCCGCGGUAAUACGGAGGGUGCGAGCGUUAAUCGGAAUUACUGGGCGUAAAGCGCGCGUAGGUGGCUUGAUAAGCCGGUUGUGAAAGCCCCGGGCUCAACCUGGGAACGGCAUCCGGAACUGUCAAGCUAGAGUGCAGGAGAGGAAGGUAGAAUUCCCGGUGUAGCGGUGAAAUGCGUAGAGAUCGGGGGGAAUACCAGUGGCGAAGGCGGCCUUCUGGACUGACACUGACACUGAGGUGCGAAAGCGUGGGUAGCAAACAGGAUUAGAUACCCGUGUAGUC
RNAcentral lists this ribosomal RNA (466 nucleotides) under Vreelandella stevensii. RNAcentral describes it as "partial 16S ribosomal RNA". It matches the Rfam family "Bacterial small subunit ribosomal RNA", at positions 338 to 795 of the family's 1533-position model. Lineage: Bacteria; Pseudomonadati; Pseudomonadota; Gammaproteobacteria; Oceanospirillales; Halomonadaceae. The record is from RNAcentral.